CGAUCCUACUAAUUACGUAGAACCAUGAACCAUCGAUCGAGUGAGUUCGAGGUGGUUCAUGCUUUCUAUAUAACUCGCUGUACGCUAAGGCAAAGGUUGUAACCAUGCGUCAUGCGUGCCGUAAGCGGGCUCUGGUGGGGGAACCCGUAGGAAGGGGGGACGACCCGCCGAAUUCACAUCAGAAAUCGCCAGAACACAAACGAAAUCUUGAAUUGCGUAUAGAAAUAAAAGAACCACUUCUAUUCUCGGAGCUGAGGUAUAUGAAGAAUGGCUUUUUGGUCCCUUUCGUCCAGUGGUUAGGACAUCGUCUUUUCAUGUCGAAGACACGGGUUCGAUUCCCGUAAGGGAUGGCUACUCUUUCCCGGCCGCUUUCAGUUAGUGUUCAUUGCUGAGUGAUCGCUCGCUAUCUGGCUUGAAAAGGUGGUCCGGAAGCUUUCUCUCUCCCAGCAAGCAAGACGAGAUCACCACUUCUCUCAGUAAUGGACUUCCUUUAAUUCUUCCUUAGCCUUAGAUGUCCUAUCAUAGAUUAUCGAACCUCCGACAGACAGAAUCCCCAUGCAUGCGUUCUUUCUCUCCUCCCCUCAGCCAUACAUCUCUUUUUUUUUCUUUUGGCCGUUUUUCUUAGGCAUUGAACCCCACCUUAGGUGCUGAGUGGUGUCCUCCCCUCCCUAAUACCUAAAAAAAAGUUCCGUCUAUGGAGCUUAAAGCUUAAACCAUGGCAUGCUUGACUCAGAAUUGGCAGCAGUAAGUUGGCCUAGUCUCUUGCCCAGCCUUCGCCUUCUUCAGUGGCCAAGUUGAAGCGUUCAACGGUUCUUCGGCCUACCACCUUUCUUUUUCAAGGUUGAGCUUGUUCAAUGGAAGCUAAUGCUAUGCUGCCCUUCCCUUGUUCACAACAGAGAAGGCGAGGACUUUCUUUUAGCUACCGGCCCAAACAAAAGAGAUUAGCCUCUUGAUCGAUCGAUUGAUUGGAUUGCAGUACGAAGGGGUUUAAGAAGGAGGCAUUGGAGAGAAGUAGGCAUGGUGGCCAACCAAGGCAGUGAAAUCGAGACAAUCAGUCAAGUUAGGAAGAGGGUUUAGUUAGGAGUCCGGGUUCCAUCCUAUAAGUUGAAGGAAGGGAGCAAAGGAAGUUCUCUUUGCCCUUAGUCUUGGGUUCAGUGAAUAGGGAACUUAGGUUUGUCUUAUUCCCUAGCUGAGUGAAUAGGCCGAUCUUUCGUAUAGUGAUAACGCUUUCUCUUUCUUAUAGGGGUCUCUUUUCUCUGACUUGACUCAGCUUGACCUACUUGACUCAGCGGUUAGAGUAUCGCUUUCAUACGGCGAGAGUCAUUGGUUCAAAUCCAAUAGUAGGUAAGGCCGAAAGCCCUGCUUUUGCCAGCAUGACAGCAAGCACGGAUUCCGACUGGCGGAGUUGAAUGACCAAAGCAUCGUCCGCAUGCGAAUCCGCCAUUCAUUCACUCUUGCUACUGUUCUCGAAUAGGCUCUUUCGAGUUCAGGUUUGAAUGAAGGAAUAAAAUCUUUUGCCAUUUAUCUAUCUAGCUGGCUCGCUAACUGCUAGUCUUUCAUUGGAAGAACUGCUAGGUUUUAUCUUCUCCUAUGGGGAGAACUAAGAGGCCUAGUCUUCUUACUCGUAUUCUAUAUUAGGGCACUCUUUCUUGGCUUGGGGAAAGAUCGUAGGCAAGGGAAACCUCGCCAACCCAUUCUCUCGCUCCUUUAGAUAGCUUUACCCUAGCACUUGAACUGGAUUGGAUAGGACUUCAACUAAAUAGGGAAAAAAAAUCUUUCAUUUUCUUUCUAGAAGCUCUUUUUUUCUACCCUUAUAACUAGUGUCACUUGCUUGAUCACUUCGGUCGGUGAUGGGGUUAUGCCAGAGGGACAGCAAUCAAUUCACCGGGUAAGAAAAGUACCGUUACACCUACCCUUUUAGUAUGACUAGACCCAAUUGUAUCACUAUACCCAGAACUAGUUGUCUACCUAGGGAUAUGCCAUUUACGGGGAAUAAGAAAGGAGCUAGUAAGAGAUUGUGACUUCUUACGCCAAUCCUAGUACUACUUAUUAAUUACUGCUAUAAAUAUUCUAACGGGUAGAAUGAUUAGCUCUUAGACCUGUUCAAACUCUUAGACAGGGUAGGACUACUUUUUAAAUGAUAGGCCUUUAACUUCUUUGCUUGGUAGCUCAGUCUUAUAGAAUAUGCUAUAGAUUCUCAAUACAUCUUUCCUUUGCACUGAAAGCUGGCUAGCCUAAAAUAUCUACUUGAACUACUGAAAUGGGAUCUAGCCUUUGGGCUUAGUUCAGAGUUCUUCUAGGCUUCUUUCUUAAUCAGGAAAAGCCCUUUACGCUUUGAGCCGGGUAUGAAUCAAAUAAAAAAAAGUGAAUCCGGAUCCUUCGCCACCUUCUCUCCUUGGUUCUGAGAUUGUAAGGAUGUCUGCCCUCCUUUCUCUUCAAAUUAAACCGGCAUACUGAAAUCGAUUGCACUAAGGGGCUUCGAUUUUGCUGAAAGAAGGACUUCGUUGAAAAAUAGAAAGAUCUUGGUUACAUCUCGCGUACUUGCCCAUAUUACUUAUAUAUGGGGUGACCCACUUCUACUUACGCUGAUUCCAAAGCUGCUCCCAUUCCUCAAAUAUAGGCAGCAGAGUCAACCCCUCCUUCGGUCGGUUCAUGAGCUGCCAAAAGCUAACUCUACGCUCGGUAGCUACCGGAGUUGCUUCGCUCCCCAACUCGUUUAAGUCAACUGAUGCCAUGGGUCAUUCCCUUGUUUACGAAACUGGGCUAUGAAAAGCAUCGAGAAAGAGGAGUGGAAAAACUACCUUCCCAGUCUAUCGGGACUCUACCUAUACUCCCUUAAUCCCGUUCCUUCUAGGCGAGUAAGGGCAUAAACUUCUAUAAAAAAAAAAGAAAGAAAAACUCACGAAGAAAGCACCGGUAAGGUUGUACCUAAGCCUAAGGGCUGGCCUUUACUGGAUCUAAUUCCCUCUGCGAGCUACCGGAUCUAAUGCACCAUUCUUCGGCCUAUUACGAACAGUUUCGAUGUACCAGAUCGUCUUGUCUUUCAUCAAUCUUCGGCAGGAGUUUGAUGCGGGGAUUCCCAGCUUUAGUGGGCAUCGCCCUAUACUUAGCG
This 3112-nucleotide transfer RNA is filed under the name Lupinus albus (white lupine). RNAcentral's name for it is "hypothetical ncRNA". The stretch from base 1275 to 1347 matches the Rfam family "tRNA". Lineage: Eukaryota; Viridiplantae; Streptophyta; Magnoliopsida; Fabales; Fabaceae. The record is from RNAcentral.